Molecule: unclassified non-coding RNA, 207 nt
Filed under: Escherichia coli IAI1
Lineage: Bacteria; Pseudomonadati; Pseudomonadota; Gammaproteobacteria; Enterobacterales; Enterobacteriaceae
Description: DsrB
Source: RNAcentral
AAAGCCACAGGAGGAAAACGAUGAAGGUGAAUGAUCGGGUAACAGUCAAAACGGAUGGCGGUCCGCGUCGUCCUGGUGUGGUACUGGCAGUUGAGGAGUUUAGUGAAGGCACAAUGUACCUGGUUUCGCUGGAAGACUACCCGCUCGGCAUCUGGUUCUUUAAUGAAGCAGGGCAUCAGGACGGUAUCUUUGUGGAGAAAGCAGAGU